This 856-nucleotide ribosomal RNA is filed under the name Chaetomella sp. RNAcentral's name for it is "LSU rRNA". It matches the Rfam family "Eukaryotic large subunit ribosomal RNA", at positions 77 to 960 of the family's 3401-position model. Lineage: Eukaryota; Fungi; Ascomycota; Leotiomycetes; Chaetomellales; Chaetomellaceae. The record is from RNAcentral.
GCAUCAGUAACGGCGAGUGAAGCGGCAACAGCUCAAAUUUGAAACCUGCCAACCGGCCGGAUUGUAAUUUGCAGAGGAUGCUUUGGGAAAGGUACUGAUCUAAGUUUCUUGGAACAGAACGUCACAGAGGGUGAGAAUCCCGUCCGUGGUCGGCCGCCUGCCCCGUGUAAAGCUCCUUCGACGAGUCGAGUUGUUUGGGAAUGCAGCUCUAAAUGGGUGGUAAAUUUCAUCUAAAGCUAAAUAUUGGCCAGAGACCGAUAGCGCACAAGUAGAGUGAUCGAAAGAUGAAAAGCACUUUGGAAAGAGAGUUAAACAGCACGUGAAAUUGUUGAAAGGGAAGCGCUUGCAAUCAGACUUGGGCGCGGGUACUCAGGGACGGUUCGCCGUUCUGUAUUUGCCCGCGCACAGGCCAGCAUCAGUUUUGGGGGUGGGAUAAAGGCCGUAGGAAUGUGGCUCUUCGGAGUGUUAUAGCCUACGGUGCCAUGCCACCUCCCGGGACUGAGGACCGCGCUUCGGCUAGGAUGCUGGCGUAAUGAUUGUAAGCGACCCGUCUUGAAACACGGACCAAGGAGUCUAACAUCUAUGCGAGUGUUUGGGUGUCAAACCCACACGCGGAAUGAAAGUGAACGGAGGUGAGAGCCCUUGAGGGUGCAUCAUCGACCGAUCCUGAUGUCUUCGGAUGGAUUUGAGUAUGAGCAUAGCUGUUGGGACCCGAAAGAUGGUGAACUAUGCCUGAAUAGGGUGAAGCCAGAGGAAACUCUGGUGGAGGCUCGCAGCGGUUCUGACGUGCAAAUCGAUCGUCAAAUUUGGGUAUAGGGGCGAAAGACUAAUCGAACCAUCUAGUAGCUGGUCCUGC